UCUGGGACAAGAGAACCGGCCAGCUAGUAUGAAUUUUAACGCGAUAGAUCUCGGACUGAAGAAUUUCCCGUCACUUCUCUCUACUGGAAAUCCUGCUGGUGUCGUGCUGCAUUUCAACAACUGGUCUACGUUCUCCAUUGGCGAAUCUUCCAAGACCUCGAGUGAUUCAUUGUCACCAAAAUCAGAGCCAACUUCAUUGGUCGGUGGUAGCCAAGAUGAUUCUCUCAUCCCAUCCAGUGUGGAAUCUUCCGUCACUCCGACAGAUGAGGAAACUGCUGAGCUUGAGAUAGUUGACGUCCCUGGAGAAAG
Molecule: long non-coding RNA, 309 nt
Filed under: Linum usitatissimum (flax)
Lineage: Eukaryota; Viridiplantae; Streptophyta; Magnoliopsida; Malpighiales; Linaceae
Description: long non-coding RNA (LUSI_LNC001152)
Source: RNAcentral